CAGAUUGGGCUCCCGGCUGGAAAGGCGGCCCGUGGCGGUGCCGGUCUGCACAAAGUUGGUGUGGAGCCGCCCGUUCGAAUCGGCCUGAUCCGCC
Molecule: transfer RNA, 94 nt
Filed under: Spirochaetia bacterium
Lineage: Bacteria; Pseudomonadati; Spirochaetota; Spirochaetia
Description: tRNA-His
Source: RNAcentral